AUGCAUCUAUUUGACAGACCUGGAGCAGGUAUUACUGGUAACGUUUCCACUACAGACGCAAGAAAAAGUGUCUUCCUGCUUUCUUUCUGUCUGAUUGUGGCUUCCAAGACUGAAUAGGGGAAUAUGUGG
Molecule: small nucleolar RNA, 129 nt
Filed under: Propithecus coquereli (Coquerel's sifaka)
Lineage: Eukaryota; Metazoa; Chordata; Mammalia; Primates; Indriidae
Description: Small nucleolar RNA SNORA31 (ENSPCOG00000001198.1)
Source: RNAcentral